Molecule: ribosomal RNA, 269 nt
Filed under: uncultured Planctomycetota bacterium
Lineage: Bacteria; Pseudomonadati; Planctomycetota
Description: uncultured planctomycete partial 16S ribosomal RNA
Rfam family: Bacterial small subunit ribosomal RNA
Source: RNAcentral
GAGCACGUAGGUGGGUUUGUAAGUCAGAUGUGAAAGCCUUCUGUCCAACGGAAGAAUUACAUCUGAAACUGCGAGUCUUGAGUGUAGGAGGGGAGAAUGGAACUUCUGGUGGAGCGGUGAAAUGCGUAGAUAUCAGAAGGAACGCCGGCGGCGAAAGCGAUUCUCUGGCCUAUUACUGACACUCAGUGUGCGAAAGCUAGGGGAGCAAACGGGAUUAGAUACCCCGGUAGUCCUAGCCGUAAACGAUGGGCACUAAGUAGAGGGGUUUU